Molecule: ribosomal RNA, 254 nt
Filed under: uncultured bacterium
Lineage: Bacteria
Description: partial 16S ribosomal RNA
Rfam family: Bacterial small subunit ribosomal RNA
Source: RNAcentral
UACGUAGGGUGCAAGCGUUAAUCGGAAUUACUGGGCGUAAAGCGUGCGCAGGCGGUGAUGUAAGACAGAUGUGAAAUCCCCGGGCUCAACCUGGGAAUUGCAUUUGUGACUGUACGGCUAGAGUGUGUCAGAGGGGGGUAGAAUUCCACGUGUAGCAGUGAAAUGCGUAGAGAUGUGGAGGAAUACCGAUGGCGAAGGCAGCCCCCCUGGGAUAACACUGACGCUCAUGCACGAAAGCGUGGGGAGCAAACAGG